Molecule: RNA transcript, 1678 nt
Organism: Anas platyrhynchos (mallard)
Lineage: Eukaryota; Metazoa; Chordata; Aves; Anseriformes; Anatidae
Gene: ENDOV
Gene name: endonuclease V
Source: RefSeq, a predicted model, not a curated record
CCUGCCUGUGGCCAGGAGUGAUUUUUCCUCUUACACCGAGCAUUUUAAUGCCUCAAACACUGGGUACAAGUGAGAUUCAGGGAGGUCAGGGCUGAAGGGUGCUGGUUGUGUGUUGUGUGUGUUACCUCUCCCACCCCACGCCACUUUUUACGCCAUCGGGGUGAAGUUUGGAUGCCUCCAUGCAGCAGCAGAAUAGAGUAGAAAGAGAAGGGUGCCUGGAUUGCAGCUUUACAGCACCCCUGGAGCACCGAGAUUGAGGCGGAAAGCGAGAAAAAGCCAAAACUGCCCCAAAACGAACCGCUCCCUCCCUGCCUUCACCUCACCCCCCUUCCCCCCAAGCUGCGGCCUUUCUCCUUGCCGCGGGCCGGCCCCUCCCCGCUGCUCAAUAAAGCCCCGCUGCAGCUCCUCCCGCCUCCGCCUCCCUCCCCGCCCGGCCGCCAUGACGGGGCCGCCGCCGGCCGCCAUCCUCAGCCGCUGGGCACGCGAGCAGGCCCGGCUGAAGGGCGGCGUGGUGCGGGAGGACACCGAGGAGUGGCAGAAGGAGCCGAGCUUCGCGGGGCUGCAGAGAGUGGGAGGCGUGGAUUUGUCUUACAUCAAAGGCGACGACUCGAGGGCCUGCGCUUCCCUCGUGGUUCUCAGCUACCCGGGGCUCGAGGUGCUGUAUGAGGACUGCCGGAUGGUGGCCGUGAGUGCCCCGUAUGUGGCAGGAUUCUUGGCCUUCCGAGAGGUCCCUUUCCUGGUGGAAGCUGUUCAGAGACUUCAGCAGGAGGAGCCCGGGCUCAAACCUCAGGUGCUUCUUGUAGAUGGGAAUGGCCUGCUCCAUCACAGAGGGUUUGGUGUGGCCUGUCACCUGGGAGUCCUGACAGAUCUACCAUGCAUUGGAGUGGCCAAGAACCUCCUGCAGGUGGAUGGCUUGGCCAGGGAUGAGCUGCACAGAGAGCAGAUUCGUUCCUUGCAGAGGGAAGGAGAUACAUUCCCACUGACAGGCACUUCAGGGAGUGUCCUUGGUAUGGCCCUGCGUAGCUGCAACAGCUCUAAGCCCCUUUAUAUCUCUGUGGGCCACAGGGUGAGCCUGGAGACAGCCGUGCGCCUCGUCCAGUCCUGCUGCAGGUACCGGAUCCCGGAGCCCAUCCGCCAGGCUGACAUUAGAUCGAGGGAGUAUAUUCGGAAGCAGAUGUGCUCACCAGUGAAGGUCCCGUCUUCUGGGCCAGAGAGGUAGGUGUGUGGGCAGCCCGAGCAGCUGCCUCUCCAAAUGGGAUCUGCUCAUGUAAUGAUCUUCAGUAAUGGCAUUAAAGGGACAGGCCAGGGUAACAAGAGCACCGUGUCCUAGGCUGGGGAAGGUCACUGGGGAUUUGAUCUGUUUCCGGCGCCCGUGAUAAGCAAAGAACUAACGCCCACAGAGAAGAGAAGGCUGAAGUGGAUGAUUAAUCUCAUGCCAGAAGCAACUGCAGGGCCCCUUCUUCACUGAAUGCAAGACUGUGGUUCUGCAGAGUGCAGCAGCUGCGUGCCACCCAUGGGCAGAGCAACACAAGACUGUGUUGGUCGGGACAACACCAGCCACUGUGCACUCCUCUGGUAGACAGGAAAACCAGCCUCUGUUAAGGAUGUUGCUCGGUGUUUAGAGCAUAUUUCUCAUGGUCUGUUUUGAAGCAUUGUAAAUACAUACUUUCACUUGUAA